AAACAACUCUUUUUAAGCAUCCUGGGACAGAUUCUAAACAUUUCAUGUCUAGCAAUCUUUAAACACAUCCUCAGGUUAUCAAUCACAUCAUAACAUCACAGCCUGUUUAAUACAUUAUUCAGUUCACAUACACAAGCUUUAAACAAGAGAAAGAGGUUUCUUACAGCCAAGGAACUAGUGUUAGUUCCUUGAAACUCCAUAGAACAUGGCAAGACAGUGAGCUGUUGGUGUCAACCCCAACUUCUCCUUCUUCCAAGGACCUUUCUCUUGAACUCUCUCCAUGUCAAAGACCCCACCUUUCUUCAUGUUACACUCGCCACACCAGUACCAGAUGAAAGCUAUCACCUUUCUUCUUGGACAGUGAAUAAGAAACAGCUUGGAUAAAGCUUUGAAGAUUGGUUGAUCAGACCACUUCCUGCCUUGUUUCCAAGAGCCUUCUUUCUUCAUGGGCGUCAUGAGAGGGUGAGAAACGACCACAUACAGCUUCUGGACACCAGGGAUGAACCCAUCUUCCACUUGAGAUGUUGAACAGCCGGCUGGAUCAUCUAAGCUUCUUCUUGGUUUCAAAACGACAUGAGAGGAGCUUGUGAGCUUUGCGGAAGCUAAGAACCAGAUUCAGAUGAACCUGGCUCUGAUACCAUAUGAGAUUUUCAGAGAUCUCAGGCUGUGUGUUUGUGUGAAUCCCAAAAGGGCAGAGAGAGAGUUUGUAGGCGAUUUAGAGAGAGAUAGAUUUGUGGAAGUGUUUGUGAGUGAUUAAGUGUUUACUCAGAUCAGAAACAAAAGACUUUGAGAGAUUAGAAGAUUAGAGACUAAGAAAGGGAGAGAUUAAGGGAUUCUGAUCCAAGAACACUUUUCUAUUAUGAAGGAGAAGGGGAAAUCCCCCUAACUCUCUUAAGAGUUACAAAUUGCCUCAUACAUCUGUUUAUAUAGGCUUUUACAAUCUGAGACAUCAUAAACCUAUAUCUAAUGGCUGUAAAUAACUUAAGAGGAAUGGAUAGUGUAGAUGAGCUGGUCUUGUUGCAAUCUGAGUAGUUAAAGCUGAUUGGUUAAGAGGAGAUGAAGCCUGAUUGGUUUAAUUCAAAAUGGGGAAGGCUGGAUGAUGAUUGGCUUUCCUUAGGCUCCUCCUAAUCUGUCCACAGAUCAGUCCAGGUUCAUGGUCGUGGCUCUCCUUGUCUUUACAGCCAAGGCCAGCCUGUCCCAAGACUAAAGUAGCCAAUCACACUGCAAUGGCAUCUUCUUGAUUCUCCUUUGAUGCCAUCUGAUCAGAACCUUAUCCACAAGACUAGGACCACUUUAAUAACUCCCAAACCUUGCCCAGACAUUACACAAGCUUUCCCGGGACGUCAGCCUCACCCUAUUUUUGCACCAACUCCAGAACUUCUCAAAUGGCCGAGUUAUGCAAAUCUGGGUCGCCCUGGUCCGUACGGAUCCGUACUGUCUGUACACGUCCGUACUGCCUCACCCUAUCUUUGCACACUCGCCCAUUU
This 1487-nucleotide long non-coding RNA is filed under the name Brassica rapa (field mustard). RNAcentral describes it as "long non-coding RNA (BRAP_LNC008334)". The record is from RNAcentral. Lineage: Eukaryota; Viridiplantae; Streptophyta; Magnoliopsida; Brassicales; Brassicaceae.